Molecule: long non-coding RNA, 1955 nt
Organism: Paramormyrops kingsleyae
Lineage: Eukaryota; Metazoa; Chordata; Actinopteri; Osteoglossiformes; Mormyridae
Source: RefSeq, a predicted model, not a curated record
CAGAAGGUGAGGACCGGUGCGGACAUGCCGCGUUUUCACAGUCGGAUGGAUGGACAGAGAGCUGCUCCUGGAAACGUCACCCCCGGUGGCCCUGUGAUGAUCGUCACGUGAACCUGACAACUUCGGAUGCUCAGGGUAAUGAGUCCACAGCACAAGACGUACAGCUCGGAAUCCUAGGAAGAGACUUGGAAUCUCACGGAAAGCAAUGGAGCGUGCGGCCUAAGCUGGAAAAGGGGCUGGCGAAAGGCUACGGCAUUCAGGAAUACCCAGGUGGAACUGUAUGUGAGGAAGACAGAAGGGAGGGCAUGCAGCAGGAGAGAUAGAAGGAGGGAUAGACAACAGGAUAUAAGAAAAGAAGGUAGAAAGAGGAUCAGCCUGAAGACUGCGAUUUGAAUUUGGAGAGUCUGCAUUUUGCUUGGAGGGGCUGGUUUGGUCUUUCAGGGGCCGACCUCAAAAUGUUACCCGCCCAGCCCCUUCAGAAUUUUCAACAACUAAAUAAAUUUCUAGUGAGCUUUCAGCAUCUUCUAAAUAAGGAAACAUGUUAAUUUAUUAUUUAGUGCAGUGACUGUUUGUGACCAACAGGGGGCCUGGUCUCUGUGAAACAUUUAAUUGGCGUCAACCUAUAAAGUCUGACGAAAAACCCUCCCCCCAUCACUUGCAUGGACCGUAUGUGUUGGCCAUUACCAGAGAGCGGGGGCCCAAAGUAAGUUUUUGUAUGGGGUGCCAGAAAUAACCCCCCCCCCCCCAGGAAACCACAGGUCAUACAGUGUGGCGAGUUGGAGCUCGCCCUGCUAGGAGACCUAGGAUGAGCUUUCAGACAGGUGUGGGGAGAGAGAAGGUGGGAGGGCUGGAAGAGGGGCAGCUAGAGGGGCCCACAUGUGGCAACUUGGCGGCAGAGUGUUCAGGUUCAGUGCCGUGCUCAGGAUCAGAGCCAGGUUGGUGCAGGUCCAGUGGGCCGUGACGGAAAUUCGUGGUGACCAGGAUGCUCCAGGGUGCUGGACAGAGAAGGCAGGAGGAGGGCUGAGGAGGACCCGUCACACAGCUGCGAGAAAGAGGAGCAUCAUGGGUAACAAUGGUCCAUGGCAGGCCACACACCUAACGCCGUACCGCUGACGAGGUGCUUCCAUGGUGUCCCAGAGACUGGGGGCUGGUCUCAGUCUGCGCGGGGGAGGGGGGGGGGCACCUGAACUGUCACUCUAAUUGAGCUCAGGAGAUAUUAAGCCCAAGGCCGAUUCCUUCCCUGGGAGCUCAGAAAUGAAACGGAAAAUGAAGAGCAUGGCCGGAGAGGGGCGCAGCUGAGUUACGGACCCCAAGGAGAGGGAGGAACACAUCCUAGAACCAGCCAACCAUCUCCAGAAUGGAAGCCUACAGUCUCAGAGAUCUACGUUUAAUCCUCCUUUCCGCCCUAAACGGGCCGGGAGCAGCUGACGGCUACAGUAGCCCAGUACAGUCCCACUGGCAGGUCUAACCCAACACUGUGCUGCCUCACCCUCUCGCCUCUUAUUUAACCAGGAGCUGCAUGCGAGUCGCCGGUUUCAGCGUGAUGCUGUCCUCCCCCAUCUUUCACUGGCGUUCAUAAGAUCAGAGAAGGUAUAUUUUGGUGUGGCUUUCCAGCCAAAAAGAGUCUCAAGCUAAUUAGGUUUAAUUAACUUUGCCAUCUAGAAACGUUCAAAGUUUCAUACCGUUCUCUGAGAGUCCCUAUGAAUAAAUGAUAAAUUAAACAGCGAAAUGCUAAUUCUCAGUCACAAAUAUGAUUCGUCUUAUUCUCGCUCAGAGUAAUUAAAUAUUAAUGGGCACAUUUGAAAUGAGGUCUAGACAUUUUAACUCAUCCUUUAUUUUAUAUCUCUGUGUUUCAUUUCUUAUACAAUCCACCCGUUUUUUUAAAUACACAUUAGCUUAACAAAAAUGAAGUUCUCGUUUGUGGAAUAUGUUCCUAUUUCGUAAAUAUUGUAACU